CAGUAGCCGCGGGAACACAGAGGGUGCGAGCGUUAAUCGGAUUUACUGGGCGUAAAGCGUGCGUAGGCGGCUUCUUAAGUCGGAUGUGAAAUCCCUGAGCUUAACUUAGGAAUUGCAUUCGAUACUGGGAAGCUAGAGUAUGGGAGAGGAUGGUAGAAUUCCAGGUGUAGCGGUGAAAUGCGUAGAGAUCUGGAGGAAUACCGAUGGCGAAGGCAGCCAUCUGGCCUAAUACUGACGCUGAGGUACGAAAGCAUGGGGAGCAAACAGGAUUAGAUACCCGGGUAGUCCCUGUCUCUUAUAC
Molecule: ribosomal RNA, 301 nt
Filed under: uncultured bacterium
Lineage: Bacteria
Description: partial 16S ribosomal RNA
Rfam family: Bacterial small subunit ribosomal RNA
Source: RNAcentral